RNAcentral lists this ribosomal RNA (253 nucleotides) under uncultured bacterium. RNAcentral describes it as "partial 16S ribosomal RNA". It matches the Rfam family "Bacterial small subunit ribosomal RNA", at positions 524 to 776 of the family's 1533-position model. The record is from RNAcentral.
UACAGAGGGUGCGAGCGUUGUCCGGAAUCACUGGGCGUAAAGGGCGCGUAGGCGGUCCGGUAAGCGCGUGGUGAAAGCUCGGGGCCCAACCCCGAGUCGGCCGUGCGAACUGCGGGACUGGAGCAGAUCAGAGGCAGGCGGAAUUCCGGGUGUAGCGGUGGAAUGCGUAGAGAUCCGGAAGAACACCGGUGGCGAAGGCGGCCUGCUGGGAUCUUGCUGACGCUGAGGCGCGACAGCGUGGGGAGCAAACAGG